AGAGUUUGAUCAUGGCUCAGGACGAACGCUGGCGGCGUGCUUAACACAUGCAAGUCGAACGGUGAUCUUGAGAGCUUGCUCUUGGGUGAUCAGUGGCGAACGGGUGAGUAACACGUGAGCAACCUGCCCCAGACUCUGGAAUAACCCCGGGAAACCGGAGCUAAUACCGGAUACGACACUGGCCCGCAUGGGUAUGGUGUAGAAAGUUUUUCGGUCUGGGAUGGGCUCGCGGCCUAUCAGCUUGUUGGUGAGGUAGUGGCUCACCAAGGCGACGACGGGUAGCCGGCCUGAGAGGGCGACCGGCCACACUGGGACUGAGACACGGCCCAGACUCCUACGGGAGGCAGCAGUGGGGAAUAUUGCACAAUGGGCGCAAGCCUGAUGCAGCGACGCCGCGUGAGGGAUGACGGCCUUCGGGUUGUAAACCACUGUUGCCCGGGACGAACAGGGUCAUUCGUGACCCCUGACGGUACCGGGUGAGGAAGCACCGGCUAACUCCGUGCCAGCAGCCGCGGUAAUUC
This 521-nucleotide ribosomal RNA is filed under the name uncultured bacterium. Its description in RNAcentral is "bacterial SSU rRNA". It matches the Rfam family "Bacterial small subunit ribosomal RNA", at positions 8 to 526 of the family's 1533-position model. The record is from RNAcentral.